UUCAGACGAUGCGUCAUGCAUAUCAAUAAGCGGAGGAAAAGAAACUAACAAGGAUUCCCCUAGUAACGGCGAGUGAAGCGGGAAGAGCUCAAAUUUGAAAUCUUAAAGGGUUUCCCUUUACGAAUUGUAGUUUAAGGAAGUGUUUUCUGUUGAGGUUUUGGUAAAAGUUCUUUGGAAUAGGACAUCAUAGAGGGUGAGAAUCCCGUAUUUGACCUUUACUUUCAACUUUGUGAUACACUUUCAAAGAGUCGGAUUGUUUGGGAAUGCAGUCCAAAAUGGGUGGUAAAUUUCACCUAAAGCUAAAUAUUGGCGAGAGACCGAUAGCGAACAAGUACCGUGAGGGAAAGAUGAAAAGAACUUUGAAAAGAGAGUUAAACAGUACGUGAAAUUGUCAAAAGGGAAGCGUUUGACACCAGUGUUGUUUUUCUGAAAAUCAAUUAAAGAACUGUUUAUGCUAAGUUGUUUAGACUUUAUCAGCUAUCUGUUUAGUUUUGAGCUUUUCUUUAAUGCACUUUUCAGUUAACAAGUCAACAUCAAUUUCUUUUGCUGUAAAAAAGCUUGAGGAAGGUGGCUUGAGAUUCGUCUUAAGUGUUUAUAGCCUCUUGCCUAUGCAGUCGGAGAGAUUGAGGUCUGCAGCGUAGAUCCUUCGGGGCUAAAUGCAUUUGUGCUAAGUUAUAGCAUUUUAUAGACAACUUGUUGACUAUGAUUUGUCUUGUAGCUUACUCGCUUAUGUUAUUUUACCUACGCUUAGGAUGUUGACACACGCGCGUGCUCG
RNAcentral lists this ribosomal RNA (775 nucleotides) under uncultured Neocallimastigales. Its description in RNAcentral is "partial large subunit ribosomal RNA". It matches the Rfam family "Eukaryotic large subunit ribosomal RNA", at positions 18 to 643 of the family's 3401-position model. The record is from RNAcentral. Lineage: Eukaryota; Fungi; Neocallimastigomycota; Neocallimastigomycetes; Neocallimastigales.